UUUGCCAGUGAAAGGGUAAACACAUCUGAUCGCUCUAGAACUAUGAAAAGCCAGAAAUUCUGGAAUUUUACAGCAAUAAUGGAUUCUGUAUAUCUAGUUACAGUUCACUAUAGAGCAUUACUGCUGAAGAUUGCUAAAAUUUUCUAAAUCAUUGGCCUGAAGUGCAACAAUUUUCAAGUGGACAAAAUACCACUGUUCAACUAUGACUAGAUAUUUCAUCUGAGGAGUCAUAAGUUACAAACUACAAAUACCAUUUUUGCAAAAGAAGAGGUAAAGAUAUUACUGUUUGCCAUCUACUGUUUCCUUCCCUGCGCAGUAGAAGAUAAUCAGAUGUGGACUAUCAUCAGGGGCUAGAGAAGAAUAGUAUAUACACCUCAAAAUAUGGAUUGUGCUUCCAAGAUCCUGGGUACAGACUUCAAAACCUGCUGAUUGCUCCUAUUACAUACAAUUAUCUGGCUUUCCAUUGGCUAAAUGGCUCAGAGGAUCCUCAGGAGGAGAUACAGGAGUGGGGAUUUAAGGGCCUGCCAACACUUCAUAUCCUGCUGGAAACUCAUACCUAAGAUAAUGGAGUUGGAGGAUUCGGAUAUCAAGGAACAGAAUUACUAAACUUUGCAGGAACAUAGUUUCUUGACAUCCUGCUUUCCAUAAACUUCUUUUUUAAACCCUCAGAAGAUGGAUUCUCAGCAGGAUAGAGAGAUAUCAAGGACAGAAAUCUCAGGAGAGACAAACUUCUGGGCAACCUUGAGGUGGUGUGUUUCCCAAGGAAUCUGGAGUAUUACUUCUGACACGAAAGUACCUGAAAUCCCCAGGGCUAGAGCCAUAUUCAUCAGAAGAAAUAAAGCCCCCAUCACUUGGGGACCCACAGACAGAUGAACUAGAAGGCCUGUUCACCAGGCCCAAUAGAAGCAGAUCUGCCCACCUCAAUAAAGAAGAAGUUCUCCGAGUGCCCACAGCGGCGGAUGUUCAUUAGCUGCAAGUGGACAGCAGGUACCUCUGAAUUCAGCUUUACUAGGUAGAUAGCCUUGCUAGAUAGGCACAACCUGUACACCCCAGUCAGGUUCUUUGUCUGCCCUAGUCCCUUGGGCUUCACAUUAACCUGCCACACCUCUUUGUAUAUGGUGCCUGGUCUAAGCGCAGCUCCAUAAUGCUCAUCA
This is a long non-coding RNA of Mauremys mutica (yellowpond turtle), 1154 nucleotides long. RefSeq lists it as uncharacterized. The record is from RefSeq and is a predicted model, not a curated record. The transcript has 5 exons. Lineage: Eukaryota; Metazoa; Chordata; Testudines; Geoemydidae.